UUAGUGGCGGACGGGUGAGUAACGCGUGGAAAACCUGCCGUAUACUGGGGGAUAACACUUAGAAAUAGGUGCUAAUACCGCAUAAGCGCACAGCUUCGCAUGAAGCGGUGUGAAAAACUCUGGUGGUAUACGAUGGUUCCGCGUCUGAUUAGCUAGUUGGUGGGGUAAUGGCCUACCAAGGCAACGAUCAGUAGCCGGCCUGAGAGGGUGAACGGCCACAUUGGGACUGAGACACGACCCAAACUCCUACGGGAGGCAGCAG
RNAcentral lists this ribosomal RNA (262 nucleotides) under uncultured bacterium. RNAcentral's name for it is "partial 16S ribosomal RNA". It matches the Rfam family "Bacterial small subunit ribosomal RNA", at positions 92 to 354 of the family's 1533-position model. The record is from RNAcentral.